RNAcentral lists this ribosomal RNA (229 nucleotides) under uncultured bacterium. Its description in RNAcentral is "partial 16S ribosomal RNA". It matches the Rfam family "Bacterial small subunit ribosomal RNA", at positions 568 to 796 of the family's 1533-position model. The record is from RNAcentral.
UGCGUAGGCUGAAUGGUAAGUCAGUGGUGAAAUCCUACAGCUCAACUGUAGAACUGCCAUUGAUACUCCCAUUCUUGAGUACAAUUGAAGUGGGCGGAAUGUGUUAUGUAGCGGUGAAAUGCAUAGAUAUGACACAGAACACCAAUCGCGAAGGCAGCUCACUAAAUUGAAACUGACGCUGAGGCACGAAAGCGUGGGGAGCAAACAGGAUUAGAUACCCUGGUAGUCC